CAAAACCUGAGGCGCAGCCAACCACAGACUACUAACCCUAUCCAUGGUGCUGACAGAGUCCCACUGUAUGGUCCAGGCUGGCCUCAAACUCUCAGCAAUCAUCCAGCCUCAGCUUCCUGAGUGCUGAGAUUACAAGCAUGUACCACCACGCCCAGCACAUUCACGUUUUACUGAAUUUAAGGAGUUAUUCAACAGGAAUUCUGACUACUCUUGAUGGAAGGAGCUCAGCUGCCAGUACUUUUCAGGAAAGCAAGUCUAUUACCAUCCCGCAUAUCUUCACUACCCCUGUUCCUGCCUCUGAGCCUGCCAUGGAGUUUGCCCUGGAGUUGUCUUCCUGCUGCCUGAUGGUUCCUACGUCUUCCCUAAGACACCAGGCUAGUCAGACAGAAUGGACCUAUGAGGGAAGCCAACACAAGAGCACAUAUAGUACCCAGAGUACCAAAUUCGCCCAUUUAUUUAUUUAACAAGGAAUGGAAGACAUUCCUUGUUCUGCUGUGAGAAUACAACAGGCGAGCCAGUCUGCUUCCUGCCCAGCCACCCUCUAUUCCAGUUCUCAGCUCUGCCAGAGCACAGACACUGGUAAAAGUCCCAAAUAAGCCAAAGAAUACUGAAGAAGAGCAUCCACCAAGAUAGUGCAGGUGUUAUCAAACACAGGCUGGCCACAGGCUCCAGGAAGAGAGGAAAGAGCAC
Heterocephalus glaber (naked mole-rat) is the source of this 690-nucleotide long non-coding RNA. Lineage: Eukaryota; Metazoa; Chordata; Mammalia; Rodentia; Bathyergidae. The record is from Ensembl.